RNAcentral lists this transfer RNA (67 nucleotides) under Cavia porcellus (domestic guinea pig). It matches the Rfam family "tRNA". From Rfam's summary of the family: Transfer RNA (tRNA) molecules are approximately 80 nucleotides in length. Their secondary structure includes four short double-helical elements and three loops (D, anti-codon, and T loops). The record is from Rfam by way of RNAcentral. Lineage: Eukaryota; Metazoa; Chordata; Mammalia; Rodentia; Caviidae.
GGGAAUAUGGCUCAGUGGCACAGCACCUGCCUGAAAAGCAGGAGUCCUGAGUUCAAUUUUAAUACCA